Molecule: ribosomal RNA, 253 nt
Filed under: uncultured bacterium
Lineage: Bacteria
Description: partial 16S ribosomal RNA
Rfam family: Bacterial small subunit ribosomal RNA
Source: RNAcentral
GACGAACCGUGCGGACGUUGUUCGGAAUCACUGGGCUUAAAGGGCGUGUAGGCGGUUGAUCAAGUCCGGGGUGAAAUCCUGCAGCUUAACUGUAGAAGUGCCUUGGAUACUGGUUGACUCGAGGGAGGUAGGGGUCUGUGGAACUUCUGGUGGAGCGGUGAAAUGCGUUGAUAUCGGAAGGAACGCCGGUGGCGAAAGCGACGUGCUGGACCUCUUCUGACGCUGAGGAACGAAAGCCAGGGGAGCGAACGGG